GUAGUGGUAGUGGUAGUGGUAGUGGUACUAUAAUUGCGCCUGUAAAAAAUAGCUUAAGUUUUGGCAACAAAAACAAUAAUAUAAUGAUUAAUGAUCAGGUAAAAAAAACAGAUAUAAAUGACAAAAGUGGUUUAUUUAAUAUAAAUAAUGAUACGGAUAAAAAUUAUAACAAUUUUAUUAAUACAUCAGUUAGUAGUAACAGUAGUAGUAACAGUAAUGGUACUAUAUUUAAUAAUAAUAGACGUUCUCACAUCAUGAAUAAUAAUAUUAAUAGUAAUAAUAAUAAUAUUAAUAAUAAUAAUAAUAAUAAUAGUAAUAAUAAUAAUAAUAAUAAUAAUAGUAAUAAUAAUAAUAAUAUUAAUAGUAAUAAUAAUAUUAAUAAUAAUAAUAAUAAUAAUAAUAAUAAGGUAGCAGGACAUUUACAACCACAUGGAGUAUUUCCACAUAUGAAUUCAAAUGACAUUAGAAAAAUUAAAAGUUUGGAUAAUAUUUACAAUAAUGUAUAUAAUGAUAAUAGUACACAUAUUGGAACUCGUCAUAAUAACUUAUGUAAUGAUUUAUUUUUUAGUAAUAAUAACUUAAUUAAUGGUCAUACAUACCAUACACAUACACAGUCUCCUCAUAUAAGUAAUGUUACAUAUGAUAGACCUGCUUCCAAUAUACUUGACACAACAAACAAUGACAACAAUACCACUAAUAAUAACAAUAAUAAUAACAAUAAUAAUACCACUAGUAAUAACAAUAAUAAUAAACACAUUGGUGAUAAUGUUAUUACAUAUAAUGAUUCUAUGUUUAGGUACAAUAAAGAGUCAGCACGAAUUAAUAAUGAGAAUAACAAUAAGUGGGUAAAUGAUAAAAAUAAUUUAAAAAAUUUAUUAAAAAAACAUAUAAUUAAUUAUAAUAAAUAUGUUAUUGGAAAUGGCAACACUGGUGAUGUUACUACGGAUGUUGGAGUAGAGACUAUUGGUUCUAAUGAUAGUAACAAUAAUAACGGUAUGUCAAAUAACGGUAUGCCAAAUAACGGUAUGCCAAAUAACGGUAUGCCAAAUAACGGUAUGCCAAAUAAUAAUAUGCCAAAUAAUAAUAUGCCAAAUAAUAAUAUGCCAAAUAAUAAUAUGCCAAAUAACGGUAUGCCAAAUAAUAUUAUGCCAAAUAACGUAAGUAAUGUAAG
This is a long non-coding RNA of Piliocolobus tephrosceles (Ugandan red Colobus), 1171 nucleotides long. Lineage: Eukaryota; Metazoa; Chordata; Mammalia; Primates; Cercopithecidae. The record is from Ensembl.